CAGUAGCCGCGGUAACACGUAGGUGGCAAGCGUUGUCCGGAAUUAUUGGGCGUAAAGGGCUCGCAGGCGGUUUCUUAAGUCUGAUGUGAAAGCCCCCGGCUCAACCGGGGAGGGUCAUUGGAAACUGGGAAACUUGAGUGCAGAAGAGGAGAGUGGAAUUCCACGUGUAGCGGUGAAAUGCGUGGAGAUGUGGAGGAACACCAGUGGCGAAGGCGACUCUCUGGUCUGUAACUGACGCUGAGGAGCGAAAGCGUGGGGAGCGAACAGGAUUAGAUACCCCCGUAGUCCCUGUCUCUUAUAC
This 301-nucleotide ribosomal RNA is filed under the name uncultured bacterium. RNAcentral describes it as "partial 16S ribosomal RNA". It matches the Rfam family "Bacterial small subunit ribosomal RNA", at positions 509 to 807 of the family's 1533-position model. The record is from RNAcentral.